UCUUCUCAUUCACAUGCUCCUCUCCGGCAGCUGCUGGAACCUCUAACUGAACCAUCUUCUCUUUUAUAUGUGUUUCCAUCUUGUUCCUCUUUUUAACUUAUUGAUCUAUCUCAUAUUAGAGAUUUCACUAUUUAGGGCUAUGUUUUUUUCCUUGAUUCUUCACCUACUUUGCCCAUUUUAAUCUGUUACCUUCCCUUUUAGGGGUAAUGGUUUGUCCACCAUUAUGUGGCUUUGAUGGAAGUGGUUGUCUAUGGUUCACAUCUCAGCCAAAGAUAUAUAUUGUUCUUCUAAUUCAUUUUUCCGCCUUCGAAUCUAUAUAACCAUCUACUUUUUAUCUUAAGCUGACCUUUGGCCUGAUCUUGGCAAUCUCUACUUGGAAUCUGGGUUGAUCUUUGUGUUCUAAAGUUAUUGAUAAUGUUGUACUCUUAACUUUUUGGUGAAAAUUUUUGUAUGCUAAUGUAGAUUAGCAAAAACGUUAUUAAUACAAUUUUAAUGACCCAAAAAAGGGAUACUCUUAUGUAAAUAUGUUUGUUUCUUAACUCUUUUCUAUUACUCUGUGCUUGUUUGCAAUGCUUCUUCAUGUGGUUUUAUCUACUUAGUUUUCCUCCUUAUCAUAGGUAAUUAUGCCUUAUUUGUGAUUCUUAUCUUCUUUUCUAUUGUGGGUAAAUACCUAAAGCAUUUGUACUCACAUAUGUUUACUUGAUUAACUGUUAGAUUAUUAAGAUAAUCUACCAUUUGAUUGCCUUCCCUAAAAUAUACAGAAUUUCUACUUCAUGACUAUUCAUUUCUGCCUCAAUGACAUCAAUAAUCUUUGAAAUUUCACAUGGUACGUUCCAAACAUAUUGAACAAUGUUUUCAAGUUCAAUGAGUUUGUUUCUAUUAUCAUUUCCUUAAAAUCUUGUGAUUUACUAUACUCAAAAGCUUCAUCAACUGUCCUUGCCUCGGCCGCUAUGUUUGUAGCAACUCAUUUACCAUCGGUCUGUGCAUAUAUCAAAUCUCUUUUAUUAUCCUUUAUAUAGAAAGUGUAUGCACUUUCCCAAAUUUCCCUUUGUUUACCCCACCAGUGAAUUUCCACUGGACUAAUUAAUGAUAAUGUUAGGAUUAUAAUAGCCUAAAAUUUUUACCAUCUCAUCCCAAUCUCUUCUUGGAAUAUCCCGAACUUUCUUUAAAUCUAAUUUAGUCUCCAAAAGAUUAAGGGAUGACUUCCUUAGUGAGUAAUGUUUAAACUAUGUAGAAUUUCCUUAAUUUUGACUUUUUAUCAUGUGGGAAAUUAAAUUAGCUUUCUAACGAUACGCAUUUCACCAAAAUCUGAUGUCGG
RNAcentral lists this long non-coding RNA (1318 nucleotides) under Capsicum annuum. RNAcentral's name for it is "long non-coding RNA (CANN_LNC005320)". The record is from RNAcentral. Lineage: Eukaryota; Viridiplantae; Streptophyta; Magnoliopsida; Solanales; Solanaceae.